This is a long non-coding RNA of Vigna unguiculata (cowpea), 2187 nucleotides long. The record is from RefSeq and is a predicted model, not a curated record. Lineage: Eukaryota; Viridiplantae; Streptophyta; Magnoliopsida; Fabales; Fabaceae.
AGAAGAAAUUCUAAUGAUUUUCUUAAAGAAUUAUAUCAGUAAUUUCCUUUUUAUGCUGAACGCAAAGAUGAUCAUCUACCAUUAAAUGUCUCCAUGCUACAACAAUCAUCUUCAUUUAAGAAUAAAGAAAGACACAAUUAAGAGAAGAUAUAGCAAAAGAAAGAAAGGAAAUCAACAUGAAAAGAAGGAACAAAAAGCUUUAUAGAUCAUAUCAGGAUAGGAAAACGAUCGUGUGACAAAGAAAAUGUGACAAACUUUUUGACAAACUGACGUGACUUUAAUUAAAUGAAUUUUUUAAGUUACAAAAUAUUUCACUGUACAUGUGAGAGAGAAAUGUGAAGGAAAAGGAGGUGGUUCACGAAACGGGGUUCUCUUUCACAAAAGUUGCUCUCGCGCUGGAUUCAAAACAUUGCUGGUUUAUCAAAACUCUCCUUUUCGGUGCAGAUUCAAUUUCUUCAAUCCCACCUGCACGAAACCCUUUCUUCCCCACGGUGGUUCACGAAAACGAGAUUGCAGUAGAACGUUCCCGACGGUGAUUGACGGAAAGCAUUGAAUUUGCAGGUCGAAAAUUGAAGGUGUGGUGUUUACGGAGCUUACUGAGAACGUUAUCAGGCCUUGGGCUGGCGAUGGUGUCGUCCCAUAAGUGGUUGAGGCCCACUUAUUUUUUGGAAUUUCAAUUUUAUUCUUUUUUUAGGUCGUUGGUGAGUGUUUGUUGAUAUCUCUACUAAUUAUGGAUAUGGAACAAGGUAAUAGCUCCAUUGAAAAUAAGGUAUGUAGUGUUAUCAUACAUUUGAUUUGUGUAUGACAUUUUAAUAAGUCCCAUUUGUUUAGCUGUUUAAUUUUCUUUGCAGAUACAUUUGAGGCAUUCUUGUGGAACAAAAUAUGUUGCAUCUAUUAACAAUCAGUUAAUAGUAGAGUAGAAGUUAUUUAUUCAAGGAUUCUGUUUCGGAUGGUUAACAAUGUUGAUGGAGUCUAUGAAAUUGUCUAGAAACCUUCUUAGUAAAUUAUGUUCUAAGCGGGAUGAAGAGAGUGGAUGUUUUCAAAUUAGAUCUUUAUCAGUUGGAUUUACUUUAUUGGAUGUUUGUCUAGGUCUUAGGCUUAGGGUGGUUGGUCCAAAAUUCAAUUUAAACGAAAUCGAAGUGGAGAGUAAUUGUAGGAAAAUGUUUCAAACUAAGAACGUCGACUUAAGCACGUUGUAUAACUUCCUUAUGCGAAAUAGGAAGGAAAUUUUUGUACCUGACUUUUGUAGAGUUUAUAUAUUGUUGGGCAUUUGUGAAUUUUUAUUGCCAAAUCGUAGUGGUAGGGUUUUUCCAAUUCUGUUUAAGCUUGUAGAUGAUAUUGAAGGUCUUGGAAAUUUGAAUUGGGGUGUUGUUGUGUAUGAAUACUUGGUUGGGAGCAUAUGUCAUGCUUCUUUCUUGUUUAAGAGAGGUGAAACUAAACGACACUUCCAUAUAGAUGGAUGUGUAUAUUUGCUACAGGUAUGAAUUUUUGAUUUUGUGUUUACUUUACUUGAAUGAUGUUGUAAUAUUUGUUGUCGAUCGACAAAUCUUCUUCAUUCAUAUGUUUUGUAUUUAUGGGCUUAUGAGCAUCUGCUUAUGUGGUCCUAAAAGGUUGAUGUUUGUUAACCAAAUUCCCACGUGUUUUGCAUUGGAUGAAUGUGAAAAUGGGUGAUUUUGUCAUAAGUCAAAGUUUCAAUAAGAAUUUGGUAAUUUUGAAUUUAGUUCCUUUGUUUUUGUAGUUAUUACAUGAUUUUUUAUUACAUGCACUGAUUUUUGGGUUGAUUUUGAAAUCUUGUGCAAAUUAUUUUUGAUGUAGUUGCCUCACCAGAAGAGUUUGGUUAUGUAAUUGUCAGAGAAGCUUUUAAAGCCUUUGGUCGUGGUUUUGCUAAGAAGGUACACUUCACAGACAAGGAUGGCUUAAAACUCGCGGUUGAUCUACAAGAACAUGUCUAUAAGAAAGAUUGGUGAAAAAAAAUGCCACAUGUCCGUGUAAACUUGUUCUGCAUAAUCCUUUAUUGUGCUUGCCAUUUAAGUUGUUAGUGAUUGCCAUUUAAAGUUGUAGGCUUAGUAUAAGAAAACUAUUUUGGCACCUUAUAUGCUUCCCAUAUCUUGGUGACACCAAAAAAGUUGUAGUGAUUUUUGACUAAGAAAGAUUGGUGAAAAGAAAAUGCAAAUUCAUUUGCCACGU